Molecule: small RNA, 96 nt
Filed under: Coturnix japonica (Japanese quail)
Lineage: Eukaryota; Metazoa; Chordata; Aves; Galliformes; Phasianidae
Description: Y RNA (ENSCJPG00005006132.1)
Source: RNAcentral
AGAUGGUCCAACAGUAGUGAGUCAACAUAAAUUACUACUGUUAUUUAAAAAAACCUUUUUGUAUUCCAUCCAUCUGCUAACCCUGACUGUUCUUUC